AGCCGCCAUGGCUCCCACUUCGCAGCGGCCCAUGAUGCGCCACUCCUCCGCCUUCUUCGACCCCUCCUCGCCCUAGCCACCCGACGACACCUGCUCCAGCCUCGCGCUCGUCAUCCUCAACCAGCGGCUGCCCCGCUUCGCGCCCCGCCUUUGGUCACGCGAUAACGCCCCCACGCCGGUGCCUCUCCCCUUCCCUCCACCUUCUUCUCAGAUCUCUUUGGCGGUAAUGCUGACGCGCUCCCUGUUCUCUUGCUGUUGCCUCCGUGGCUGGCUUGAGUAGCAGCGGUGCGGCUGUGCGUGAACGGCGGCGCCAACCGCGGCUUCGACGACAUGCCAGAGCUGCUCACUAGGCAGGACCCCGACGAGGUCCGUGGGAGGACAAGAGAUGCUCAGGACGGCCAGCAUACCAAUUGGUCAAUCAGAUUUGAUAUGCUUUUCAAAUAUGCAAGCUCUGUUGAUGUUUCGAGUUAGACAAACGGCAUGUCCACAAUGUGCUUGAUGCAAUGCUUGCCUGUGGGCGGUGGCUAUGUUAGUGCGCUGCCUGUGCUGUGCAUAUCUGAUGCUGGAGAGGUGUAAAUGUUUCUGAUAUGUCCCCCUCACAGUUUCUUCUGUGGUAUUUACACAAUCUUCUACGCACUCUUGUUUGAUGGGAUACAUUGAUUGAUUUCCUUACACCGUACACCAUGCCAUUGAAACCGUGCAAAUAUCUUGUUCAAGCUGUUGUCCGUGGGUCGAAACUUGAGGCAUCCUCUGUCAUUCUUGGAGCACGAGCUAGCAGAGUUCGUAUAGGAAGUGUAGUUCAGAGUAGUACCGUGAUUACUGGCCAUGUUAUUAUCCUUUCUUUCCUUUUCCUUGUAGAUUAUAGUUUAUCUUUGCCUUGCAACCUAUGUAUUGUGUUAUUCAUUGUCAUGUGAUCUCCAUAAUAUCUAA
Long non-coding RNA from Phragmites australis (common reed), 930 nucleotides. RefSeq lists it as uncharacterized. NCBI's taxonomy places the organism in Eukaryota, Viridiplantae, Streptophyta, Magnoliopsida, Poales, Poaceae. The record is from RefSeq and is a predicted model, not a curated record. The transcript has 3 exons.